This 483-nucleotide ribosomal RNA is filed under the name uncultured bacterium. RNAcentral's name for it is "partial 16S ribosomal RNA". It matches the Rfam family "Bacterial small subunit ribosomal RNA", at positions 28 to 507 of the family's 1533-position model. The record is from RNAcentral.
GACGAACGCUGGCGGCGUGCUUAACACAUGCAAGUCGAACGCUGAAGCUCAGCUUUUGUUGGGUGGAUGAGUGGCGAACGGGUGAGUAACACGUGAGUAACCUGCCUCCUUCUUUGGGAUAACGCCCGGAAACGGGUGCUAAUACUGGAUAUUCACUGGUCUUCGCAUGGGGGUUGUUGGAAAGGGUUUUUCUGGUGGGGGAUGGGCUCGCGGCCUAUCAGCUUGUUGGUGGGGUGAUGGCCUACCAAGGCUUUGACGGGUAGCCGGCCUGAGAGGGUGACCGGUCACAGUGGGACUGAGAUACGGCCCAGACUACUACGGGAGGCAGCAGUGGGGAAUAUUGCACAAUGGGCGCAAGCCUGAUGCAGCGACGCCGCGUGAGGGAUGGAGGCCUUCGGGUUGUGAACCUCUUUCGCUAAUGGUCAAGCCGCAACAAUGGUUGUGGUGAGGGUAGUGGGUAAAGAAGCGCCGGCUAACUACGUG